GCUUGCACCUUUCAAGCGAGUGGCGAACGGGUGAGUAACACGUGGAUAACCUGCCUCAAGGCUGGGGAUAACAUUUGGAAACAGAUGCUAAUACCGAAUAAAACUUAGUAUCGCAUGAUACAAAGUUGAAAGGCGCUACGGCGUCACCUAGAGAUGGGUCCGCGGUGCAUUAGUUAGUUGGUGGGGUAAAGGCCUACCAAGACAAUGAUGCAUAGCCGAGUUGAGAGACUGAUCGGCCACAUUGGGACUGAGACACGGCCCAAACUCCUACGGGAGGCUGCAGUAGGGAAUCUUCCACAAUGGGCGAAAGCCUGAUGGAGCAACGCCGCGUGUGUGAUGAAGGCUUUAGGGUCGUAAAGCACUGUUGUAUGGGAAGAAAUGCUAGAAUAGGGAAUGAUUCUAGUUCGACGGUACCAUACCAGAAAGGGACGGCUAAAUACGUGCCAGCAGCCGCGGUAAUACGUAUGUCCCGAGCGUUAUCCGGAUUUAUUGGGCGUAAAGCGAGCGCAGACGGUUGAUUAAGUCUGAUGUGAAAGCCCGGAGCUCAACUCCGGAAUGGCAUUGGAAACUGGUUAACUUGAGUGUUGUAGAGGUAAGUGGAACUCCAUGGGUA
Molecule: ribosomal RNA, 613 nt
Filed under: Leuconostoc lactis
Lineage: Bacteria; Bacillati; Bacillota; Bacilli; Lactobacillales; Lactobacillaceae
Description: bacterial SSU rRNA
Rfam family: Bacterial small subunit ribosomal RNA
Source: RNAcentral